GGCCCCAUGGUGUAGUGGCAACACGGCUGGUUUUGGCCCAGCAGUCCUGAGUUCGAUUCUUGGUAGGGCCG
This 71-nucleotide transfer RNA is filed under the name marine sediment metagenome. Its description in RNAcentral is "tRNA-Gln". It matches the Rfam family "tRNA". From Rfam's summary of the family: Transfer RNA (tRNA) molecules are approximately 80 nucleotides in length. Their secondary structure includes four short double-helical elements and three loops (D, anti-codon, and T loops). Further hydrogen bonds mediate the characteristic L-shaped molecular structure. tRNAs have two regions of fundamental functional importance: the anti-codon, which is responsible for specific mRNA codon recognition, and the 3' end, to which the tRNAs corresponding amino acid is attached (by aminoacyl-tRNA synthetases). tRNAs cope with the degeneracy of the genetic code in two manners: having more than one tRNA (with a specific anti-codon) for a particular amino acid; and 'wobble' base-pairing, i.e. permitting non-standard base-pairing at the 3rd anti-codon position. The record is from RNAcentral.